This 1276-nucleotide long non-coding RNA is filed under the name Castor canadensis (American beaver). RNAcentral describes it as "lncRNA (ENSCCNG00000005507.1)". The record is from RNAcentral. Lineage: Eukaryota; Metazoa; Chordata; Mammalia; Rodentia; Castoridae.
GAAUUGCCGUAGACAUCAAACUCCACGGAAAAGGCCACCACACCCCCCGAGCCAGAACCCGCAGCAGCCGCCCAGAAGGCCAAAGAGGGCUCCACAAAGGACAAGAAGUCAGUCCCUGAGAUGAACAAGCACAAGAGCAGCAAACAGGAAGCCAAAGAACCUGCCCAGUGUGUGGAGCCAGCCGCGCUGGAUUCGAACUCACUGCAGAAUGGGGACAAGUCCCAAAAGAGACCUGAGAAGCGACGGCAGUCCCUUGGGGGCUUCCUUAAGGGCCUGGGACCAAAGCGGAUGUUGGAUGCUCAAGUGCAAACAGACCCCGUAUCCAUCGGACCUGCUGGCAAAUCCAAGUAAACAAAUUAGAGCUCCCGCCAGGUUUUCCUACACCACAUUUUCUCCCUGCUCCAUCUCCCUCCCAAACACACUCUAUGUAUAUAUUUUUGUCUUCUCAUGGCCCUCAAAUGAAAUCCUGCCUACAAAUGAAGGCUGAGCUGUUGUAUACUGAGGUGCAUUAUUCACGUCUCUGGUCCAGUCUUCCUGGCGUAUAACUGUAAAGAUGCGUUAGCAGUUCAACUAGUCAGGUCAGGAGCAUUGAUGACUGCCAGGUAGGGGAAGGAGGAAGUAGAGGAAUGCACCCGUGUUAUGUCUAAAAAAAUGGCCAUGACAAGUAUGUUGCAGAAGAUAAAUGCCUGUGAGAAAAAAAAUUAAGCUUUGUAGCAAAUGCAUGCUACAAAAAAUCCUGUAAGCCUGGGGAAGGGAAGGAAAACCCAUUUGUUUAAGUAGCACUUCAAGGAAGGAGAACUCAGGCUGGCUCUGUGUUGGGUGGUUACCAGUGUCCUAGGAUGGAAUGUGUGGUUUUUGAAAAGGAAAGAAUAAGAGCUGGUUUUCAAACAGGGUCCUUGAAAGCUACUGAUGAGAGGGAAAUGGUUGACUGGAGAGGGAUUGAAAUGAUUUGGGAAGACAAUUGCUUCUGAAGCCCAGGAACAAGGGUGGGUGAGAGUUACAACUUCAAAAAAAGAAAAGAAAAGAAAUGAGGUUGCAAGUUUAUUUUGCAACACAAGGGGGCGCCAAGAACUCCAUUUUAUUCUGCAUCCUCUGUCUAACAAAGAUUGAGUGUCUGCAAACUUCCAUUAUUAAUGUCUCUCAGAUGGCUGGGGCUUGCUUCAUCUGUUCUGUCUGACACUUACCUCAAGUCUGUCUGUAAUUUCCUAAUGUUCUCAGGAUGUACUCAUAGAACCAUCCCCAUAACCCCAGUUAAUAAAAAUUUACAGAUUAUCCA